This 1489-nucleotide ribosomal RNA is filed under the name Lactiplantibacillus plantarum. Its description in RNAcentral is "bacterial SSU rRNA". It matches the Rfam family "Bacterial small subunit ribosomal RNA". Lineage: Bacteria; Bacillati; Bacillota; Bacilli; Lactobacillales; Lactobacillaceae. The record is from RNAcentral.
GACGAACGCUGGCGGCGUGCCUAAUACAUGCAAGUCGAACGAACUCUGGUAUUGAUUGGUGCUUGCAUCAUGAUUUACAUUUGAGUGAGUGGCGAACUGGUGAGUAACACGUGGGAAACCUGUCCAGAAGCGGGGGAUAACACCUGGAAACAGAUGCUAAUACCGCAUAACAACUUGGACCGCAUGGUCCGAGUUUGAAAGAUGGCUUCGGCUAUCACUUUUGGAUGGUCCCGCGGCGUAUUAGCUAGAUGGUGGGGUAACGGCUCACCAUGGCAAUGAUACGUAGCCGACCUGAGAGGGUAAUCGGCCACAUUGGGACUGAGACACGGCCCAAACUCCUACGGGAGGCAGCAGUAGGGAAUCUUCCACAAUGGACGAAAGUCUGAUGGAGCAACGCCGCGUGAGUGAAGAAGGGUUUCGGCUCGUAAAACUCUGUUGUUAAAGAAGAACAUAUCUGAGAGUAACUGUUCAGGUAUUGACGGUAUUUAACCAGAAAGCCACGGCUAACUACGUGCCAGCAGCCGCGGUAAUACGUAGGUGGCAAGCGUUGUCCGGAUUUAUUGGGCGUAAAGCGAGCGCAGGCGGUUUUUUAAGUCUGAUGUGAAAGCCUUCGGCUCAACCGAAGAAGUGCAUCGGAAACUGGGAAACUUGAGUGCAGAAGAGGACAGUGGAACUCCAUGUGUAGCGGUGAAAUGCGUAGAUAUAUGGAAGAACACCAGUGGCGAAGGCGGCUGUCUGGUCUGUAACUGACGCUGAGGCUCGAAAGUAUGGGUAGCAAACAGGAUUAGAUACCCUGGUAGUCCAUACCGUAAACGAUGAAUGCUAAGUGUUGGAGGGUUUCCGCCCUUCAGUGCUGCAGCUAACGCAUUAAGCAUUCCGCCUGGGGAGUACGGCCGCAAGGCUGAAACUCAAAGGAAUUGACGGGGGCCCGCACAAGCGGUGGAGCAUGUGGUUUAAUUCGAAGCUACGCGAAGAACCUUACCAGGUCUUGACAUACUAUGCAAAUCUAAGAGAUUAGACGUUCCCUUCGGGGACAUGGAUACAGGUGGUGCAUGGUUGUCGUCAGCUCGUGUCGUGAGAUGUUGGGUUAAGUCCCGCAACGAGCGCAACCCUUAUUAUCAGUUGCCAGCAUUAAGUUGGGCACUCUGGUGAGACUGCCGGUGACAAACCGGAGGAAGGUGGGGAUGACGUCAAAUCAUCAUGCCCCUUAUGACCUGGGCUACACACGUGCUACAAUGGAUGGUACAACGAGUUGCGAACUCGCGAGAGUAAGCUAAUCUCUUAAAGCCAUUCUCAGUUCGGAUUGUAGGCUGCAACUCGCCUACAUGAAGUCGGAAUCGCUAGUAAUCGCGGAUCAGCAUGCCGCGGUGAAUACGUUCCCGGGCCUUGUACACACCGCCCGUCACACCAUGAGAGUUUGUAACACCCAAAGUCGGUGGGGUAACCUUUUAGGAACCAGCCGCCUAAGGUGGGACAGAUGAUUAGGGUG